RNAcentral lists this ribosomal RNA (497 nucleotides) under uncultured bacterium. RNAcentral describes it as "partial 16S ribosomal RNA". It matches the Rfam family "Bacterial small subunit ribosomal RNA", at positions 28 to 507 of the family's 1533-position model. The record is from RNAcentral.
GACGAACGCUGGCGGUGUGCCUAAUACAUGCAAGUUGAGCGCUGAAGGUUGGUACUUGUACCGACUGGAUGAGCAGCGAACGGGUGAGUAACGCGUGGGGAAUCUGCCUUUGAGCGGGGGACAACAUUUGGAAACGAAUGCUAAUACCGCAUAAAAACUUUAAACACAAGUUUUAAGUUUGAAAGAUGCAAUUGCAUCACUCAAAGAUGAUCCCGCGUUGUAUUAGCUAGUUGGUGAGGUAAAGGCUCACCAAGGCGAUGAUACAUAGCCGACCUGAGAGGGUGAUCGGCCACGUUGGGACUGAGACAAGGCCCAAACUCCUACGGGAGGCAGCAGUAGGGAAUCUUCGGCAAUGGACGAAAGUCUGACCGAGCAACGCCGCGUGAGUGAAGAAGGUUUUCGGAUCGUAAAACUCUGUUGGUAGAGAAGAACGUUGGUGAGAGUGGAAAGCUCAUCAAGUGACGGUAACUACCCAGAAAGGGACGGCUAACUACGUG